Perognathus longimembris pacificus (Pacific pocket mouse) is the source of this 247-nucleotide long non-coding RNA. RefSeq lists it as uncharacterized. NCBI's taxonomy places the organism in Eukaryota, Metazoa, Chordata, Mammalia, Rodentia, Heteromyidae. The transcript has 3 exons. The record is from RefSeq and is a predicted model, not a curated record.
AAUAAUAUAAUUCUAUUAUGCUAGAGUAAUUAGCAGGAAGGUAGCCAUGCUUGGAGUUGAGUAAGUCGAAGGAAGGCUGGUAAGAUAUGAGGAUAGAAAAAAAGCUUAUAAAACCUGACUUGGGUUUCUCAAAGAGCAUCUUAUAUUCUGAAUACCAGCCUUAAUUUGUGAAAAAGGAAUUUUAAAAUUAGGCUAUGUCCUGGGAGUGUUAGGUGUGAGGUACAAAGCAUACAAUUUGCAGAUUAGG